GACGAACGCUGGCGGCGUGCCUAAUACAUGCAAGUAGAACGCUGAAGGAAGGAGCUUGCUCUUUCUGGAUGAGUUGCGAACGGGUGAGUAACGCGUAGGUAACCUGCCUGGUAGCGGGGGAUAACUAUUGGAAACGAUAGCUAAUACCGCAUAAAAUUGAUUAUUGCAUGAUAGUCAAUUAAAAGGUGCAACUGCACCACUACCAGAUGGACCUGCGUUGUAUUAGCUAGUUGGUGGGGUAACGGCUCACCAAGGCGACGAUACAUAGCCGACCUGAGAGGGUGAUCGGCCACACUGGGACUGAGACACGGCCCAGACUCCUACGGGAGGCAGCAGUAGGGAAUCUUCGGCAAUAGACGGAAGUCUGACCGAGCAACGCCGCGUGAGUGAAGUAGGUUUUCGGAUCGUAAAGCUCUGUUGUAAGAGAAGAACGAGUGUGAGAGUGGAAAGUUCACACUGUGACGGUAUCUUACCAGAAAGGGACGGCUAACUACGUG
Molecule: ribosomal RNA, 497 nt
Filed under: uncultured bacterium
Lineage: Bacteria
Description: partial 16S ribosomal RNA
Rfam family: Bacterial small subunit ribosomal RNA
Source: RNAcentral